This 497-nucleotide ribosomal RNA is filed under the name uncultured bacterium. RNAcentral describes it as "partial 16S ribosomal RNA". It matches the Rfam family "Bacterial small subunit ribosomal RNA", at positions 28 to 507 of the family's 1533-position model. The record is from RNAcentral.
GAUGAACGCUGGCGGCGUGCCUAAUACAUGCAAGUCGAGCGAACAGAUAAGGAGCUUGCUCCUCUGACGUUAGCGGCGGACGGGUGAGUAACACGUGGGUAACCUACCUAUAAGACUGGAAUAACUCCGGGAAACCGGGGCUAAUGCCGGAUAAUAUUUAGAACCGCAUGGUUCUAAAGUGAAAGAUGGUUUUGCUAUCACUUAUAGAUGGAUCCGCGCCGCAUUAGCUAGUUGGUAAGGUAACGGCUUACCAAGGCAACGAUACGUAGCCGACCUGAGAGGGUGAUCGGCCACACUGGAACUGAGACACGGUCCAGACUCCUACGGGAGGCAGCAGUAGGGAAUCUUCCGCAAUGGGCGAAAGCCUGACGGAGCAACGCCGCGUGAGUGAUGAAGGUCUUCGGAUCGUAAAACUCUGCUAUUAGGGAAGAACAAAUGUGUAAGUAACUGUGCACGUCUUGACGGUACCUAAUCAGAAAGCCACGGCUAACUACGUG